Molecule: long non-coding RNA, 2195 nt
Organism: Myiozetetes cayanensis
Lineage: Eukaryota; Metazoa; Chordata; Aves; Passeriformes; Tyrannidae
Exons: 3
Source: RefSeq, a predicted model, not a curated record
GGUCAAGACAGUGAGCCCAGCUCUCUACAUACUGGCUACUAGCUGAGGCCGAGCCUUUGAUGUUGGGAGCAGGAAGACUUCUUAAGACUGAAGGGCUAACUCUUCCAUUACACACCACUAGAAGACUCUUCAAUCUAGGAAAAAAAAAAAAACAAAAAAGAUACAGUCUUCUGGGUAGAGCUAAGGAACAACUUCUAUUAAAUGAAAUAGGAUUAAAAAUAUUAAAAUGAGAGACAGGAGACAUCAUCCAGGCUCUGUGAGGAUUUAGACCAGCUACAUUCACAAGUCAGACUCCAUAGUCAUGUUCCAUUCCAAUUGUAAGAAUUUACUUCAGACUGAGGUAGAGAUAAGAGAUCCGAACCAUCUCUUACACUAACAGAGUCGCUGCAUGGCUCCUGUGGGGUUAUUAGGAUUGCUACAGUUAGAUGCUUCAUCCACCAUAGCCAGAGAUCUGAGUGCUUUCCAGGCAAUUAAGGAGGCCCACAUGCUGAGCAAGAAGCUGUGGAAGACACAUCAAGCAAAAGGAUGCACCUGAAUUCUUCCUACUCUCUAGAAGUCAGAAACCACAGUCACAGUUGUACUUCAGACUCUCUACAUUUGGGAUCUUGAGUACAGUAGAUUCAAAAAGGUUCAUCUGGAGUACUCAACCUGCACUGCAACCUACUCCCUUAAAGCAUUCCUUCAGGAACUGAAGGCAUUGUCUUUUCACCCACACAGAAUUAACACUUGCAUCUCUUAAAGCAUUUUGCCAAACCACAAGACUAGACCCACUAUAAAACUGAAGGUAUUCUCCCUUCAACCUGAUGAGGAAUAAAAUCCAUCACCACUGCAGAAAAGGAACUGCAAGAUGAGAAGAACAGAGAAGAAAGGAACAGAAGGGAGCUUCACUCCAUAAUCCAAUAGUAAAAGCAUUAACUUAGAAGAAAAGGGAAACCUCACUUCACUGCUCCUAUUCAGUAUUACACUGCCCUUUUCCUUUUCUUGUUCAAUGAAUCCCACUUUUCCAGACGCUCAUCCACUUUCCACAUUUAAGAAGAGGACUGAAGAGUGCAAUUUAUGUCACCCCAUGUUAUUCAGCUGCUUUCAAAACAGUUAUGCUUCUCAGAGGUUCUCAGUUAUCUUCUGGUGAAGGCAUCUUGAAACAGACCUUUUUAUUUCCCAUCCCUGUCCUCAGGCUCCCUCGGAGGGGAAAGUUCAGGUCUCCAUAUCCUCUUUGUCCCAGGGCAUUUGGAGGGACAGCCUGAGUGAUGGUACGUGCGCCAUCAGCCACAGGAUGUCUUUCUCAGAAGAUGCCGCUGCCACAUUGGUGCCAUAUGCCUUUUUAUUUCAUGACACCUGUUUACACAGUGUGAGUCAGGAAAAAGAUUACUUUCACAGCAGAAUGGGAAAUCACAGAGCAUUCACAGACAGGCAGUGGGUUCAGGGAAUAUCUAUCUAUCUGUAACAUCUAUCAUUUUGUCAGAAUCUGUACAACUGUCCUGAUACAUGCUGGUUUCAGUGUUCUGUGUAAGUGCCACAGUUGCAAAUCAUUUUGAAAGCCAAAGAAAUCAAAUUCUGUAGCUAAAAAUUAGUUGUAAGCAGAAAACAAGCAUGUGCUUUUUCUGAUUACUAUCACUUAACGUAUCCUAUCCAUGUGUUGGUUUUGAGUAGGGAUUUCUUGCUUUAUUGAUUAUAUUUCUUAGUAUUGCAAAGUAAGUAAGAGAGUUGACUUUUAUGACUUUGUAAGUAAAAAUAACUCUUAUCUCUCAAGUGCAGAAUAUUUAUAUCUGUUAUGAAACACAAUGUUAUGACAGCAUUGCUGGCCUUUGGAAACAUCUGAGAAAAGGUUUAUACUCAUUUUGUUAAUGUUUCAAGUGCUGAAAAGACUGGUAGAUUAGUUCAAACCGAAGUGGUUCUGAAUUAAAGUGCUACAUAUAAUGUGCAGUGAUCUCAGUCAUGGGCUGAUGCUCCCUUUCUCUUACUCUUUUGUGAGAUCAUAGUUGUGGACAGAAUAGCAGGACGGUCAGAUUGAAUCUUGGUGACUAUCUACGGCUGCACCAGAUAAACCAGAUCUGUCCAACCGUGAAUGUGCCCUCCUCACUGUGUUGUGAUUUGAGCAUGUAAUAAUUGUUGCAAUGAAAGCAGUGCUACAGGUGUGCUACAUGGUAUGACAAAACAGAAGUACCAUUAUGUUGAGUAGAGAAUAAAUAAGUUGA